AGCACUGAGUUAUUUUCUUUUCAAAAAUGACAAAAGUCGUGUACUGACAUGUCUACAGUCGCCAUGGUUUGCAUUAUGCAGUUCUUUAUGGAGUUUACUCCUUCAGUAGGGGGCGCACCUCAGUAGCGGUUACAUCACGUGUUUUGAUGCUCUGAUUGGCCGGUAAAGAUGUGACAGACAGAACGUUCAUCCAAUUACUCUCCGAAUUUUUUUCAAAGGCUCUGCCCUUUCCUGAACACUGUAUAUGGAUGUGUGAAACAAAUCCAUGUGGCGUGUCAGGUUAGAGAUAUGGUUCAACGUCUUAAACAACCCAAUCUUUAUGUUUCUAUGUCCUCAAAAAUGUCUUUGUUAUUGAAGUGAUGUUAAAAUGAUCCUCAAAGGGCUGAGAGGUUUAUUCCCACAUCACUGCUACUAAUGUCCUACAUUUGUUUCCUUCAUUUGGUCUUUUGGCUACACUGUUCUUUUUUUGCUUGCCAUUUCUUUCAUUUGUUUUGGCAAAAUACAUACAUAUUAAUUCAUUAUCAGUUUGCCUAUCACAUAACUCAUCUGAAGUAGGAUUUCCUGUGUCAUACAACAAAUAAAAACUGAAAUGUGUUACCUUUAAAGUGCUAAUUAGAGCCAAAUUGAUAUCCCUUAUUUGAGUAAGAAAGCAAAUGAAGAUAAACUUUAAGAACUUGGAAACAAUUCCAAAAGGAUUAGAAAGACAACACAGUGGGAAAUUAAAGUGCGAAAUAAGGAUUACAGUUAAAAGGAUUAGAAAUCAAACCUUGGGGGUAAAAAAUAAAUUGAGGGAGAAAAAGUGUACAUCUGUACAUAAUAUCAAGUAAAAUCACAAAAAAUAUUAGCAAUUAUUAGCAUUAAGAAACAGAACUGGCAUAUUUUCUUAAAAAUAUUGAACCCUAAAAAACAGGUUAAGUACACAUCACCAUAUGUAGCCAUCACAUCUAAGAGGCUCUGCUCUUAUGUAGUCUGUGUCUUCAUAUACAAAAAUAGAUCAUCAGGUUAUAGAUUAAACAUACAGAAAACCCAGUCAUUAACAUUUAACUGUGGAACAUUACCUAAGUGUAUACAGACUUCCUGUCAGCUGGUCUCACAAAGAAAUUAGAUAUCUAGUGGUAUGGUGUUCCAAAUGGUCUGGGACAGUGUGUUGAUGUCCAUUUAGAUCACUUGCAACCUGAAUAUAAAAUUAAUUAAAAUAGUUUGGAAAGAAAGAAAAAUCAAAUUUGUUGUUCAUUAUCAACGUAUUCAGGGCUGUGAUAAUCCACUUAAGGAAAUUCACUUUACAUGGACUGUAUGAAAAAUAUAUGUUGUUUUUUAGCCCCCCCCCCCCCCCCCCCCAAAAAAAACAAACAAACAAACAAACAAGAUGGCAUUUAAAUGGUUAAAAUUCCUAUUAUUUCUAUUUCUAAUAUUCCUAAUUAUUCUAAUUUAUGUAAGCUGCCACUUUUUGUCACAAACUCCUAUAUAUUAUUAUAUAACAUAUUCAAGGCUUUGAAGGCUUUGAGUAAAUCCAACUUGUUUUUAGUGAAUUUUACAUUACCAGGAUCUUGUUUUUGCACUUACACUGGCAUUAAAAAAGGUUAAAUCCUACAAAUUAAUCAACAAUUGAAGUUCAUGAUCAGGUCUGAUCUUGACUGAAAAAAUAAUGUGAAAGAAGUAUUUAAAAAACAUAUGUAUGUGUAAUUGUUUUUAUUGUUGUUUAUGUCAGCUACCAUUUUUUAACACUUACACCCUGAUUGUAACACUUUCUUUUACACCAUCUGGGGGGUUACAUUUAGCUAUUUCUGAAUUGUAACUAAUCAGCUACGGUGAGGGCUUUCCACUUUAGAUACCAAAACCUUUGAAAAUGUACAAAAAGGUGUUCUGAAGUAAUGUUUUCCUUCUCCCUGGCCAGAUCUUCAGGACGCCAACCUGUAUCCCUUUAUACAGUCAGGUGUAAAUGCUGCGUUAACAAAAGGUCAGAGGAAACGCUGCCCCUAAUCGCAGGGGCUGAACAAGAAUAGUCCCCAUAAAGCGUUAUUAUUCAGGGAGAGUCCUCACCGUGUCUGCCCCCUCCCUCUGGAACUCACUUCCCCAAACAUAUUCAAGCCUGUACUGACCUACUCACAUCACUACUCAAGACUUUCCAAACAAGCUUUAAAUGUGGGAUUAUGCUGUUAACAUGUUUAUUUGACCCAUGUAUAAUGAUGCUAUGCUUGUGUUAUUUGAUCCAUUUAUCAAAUGUAAAACUUCUUUGAGUACCUGAAAAAUACUUUACAAAUAAAAUGUUAUAUUAUUAUUCAUUUCA
This is a long non-coding RNA of Cheilinus undulatus (humphead wrasse), 2287 nucleotides long. RefSeq lists it as uncharacterized. NCBI's taxonomy places the organism in Eukaryota, Metazoa, Chordata, Actinopteri, Labriformes, Labridae. The record is from RefSeq and is a predicted model, not a curated record. The transcript is spliced from 2 exons.